UCUCCGUAGGUGAACCUGCGGAGGGAUCAUUACCAAGUACAACCCGUCUCCGGACGGGCUGCUACCAACCCUUUGUUGUCCGACCGCGUUGCCUCCGGGGCGACCCUGACCUUCGGGUUUUGGGGGACCCCGGGUGGACACCUAAACUCUGCGUAACUUUGCAGUCUGAGUAAUAGAUUAAAUCAAUCAAAACUUUCAACAACGGAUCUCUUGGUUCUG
This 219-nucleotide unclassified non-coding RNA is filed under the name soil metagenome. RNAcentral describes it as "partial contains small subunit ribosomal RNA, internal transcribed spacer 1, and 5.8S ribosomal RNA". The record is from RNAcentral.